RNAcentral lists this ribosomal RNA (460 nucleotides) under uncultured bacterium. RNAcentral's name for it is "partial 16S ribosomal RNA". It matches the Rfam family "Bacterial small subunit ribosomal RNA", at positions 338 to 795 of the family's 1533-position model. The record is from RNAcentral.
CCUACGGGUGGCUGCAGUGAGGAAUAUUGGUCAAUGGGCGUACGCCUGAACCAGCCAAGUAGCGUGAAGGAUGACUGCCCUAUGGGUUGUAAACCUCUUUUAUAAGGGAAUAAAGUGAGGCACGUGUGCCUUUUUGUAUGUACUUUAUGAAUAAGGAUCGGCUAACUCCGUGCCAGCAGCCGCGGUAAUACGGAGGGUCCGAGCGUUAUCCGGAUUUAUUGGGGUUAAAGGGAGCGUAGAUGGGUUGUUAAGUCAGUUGUGAAAGUUUGCGGCUCAACCGUAAAAUUGCAGUUGAUACUGGCAGCCUUGAGUACAGUUGAGGUAGGCGGAAUGCGUGGUGUAGCGGUGAAAUGCAUAGAUAUCACGAAGAACUCCGAUUGCGAAGGCAGCUUACUAACCUGCCACUGACAUUGAUGCACGAAAGUGUGGGUAUCAAACAGGAUUAGAUACCCUGGUAGUC